This 71-nucleotide transfer RNA is filed under the name Lewinia muelleri (Auckland Island rail). RNAcentral describes it as "tRNA-Lys". Lineage: Eukaryota; Metazoa; Chordata; Aves; Gruiformes; Rallidae. The record is from RNAcentral.
CAUUAAGAAGCUAUGCAACAGCACUAGCCUUUUAAGCUAGAGAUAGAGGUUUACUAACACCUCCUUAAUGA